ACAGCCAAGGGAACGGGC
RNAcentral lists this non-coding RNA (18 nucleotides) under Arabidopsis thaliana (thale cress). The record is from RNAcentral. Lineage: Eukaryota; Viridiplantae; Streptophyta; Magnoliopsida; Brassicales; Brassicaceae. RNAcentral also lists the same sequence under 2 other names.